UAAUCAUCAUUUCCGUAUAAGUCCUCAGUAGUUUAUCUCAGCAGUCAGCUCCGGCCUACGCAUCCUCUACGUAGGGGACCGAUGCGAAUAAGUGAAUGAUCCAGAAAAAACAAAAAAAUAAAAGAAAGCAAAAAGGCAACUCCGGUAUAGGUGACCCUCACAAAGUCAUUUAAACCAAAGGAUUGUAAAAAAAAAUGCUAGAAAAAGAAAGAAA
RNAcentral lists this long non-coding RNA (214 nucleotides) under Lathyrus oleraceus (garden pea). Its description in RNAcentral is "Pisum sativum (pea) long non-coding RNA (PSAT_LNC022748)". The record is from RNAcentral. Lineage: Eukaryota; Viridiplantae; Streptophyta; Magnoliopsida; Fabales; Fabaceae.